AAUAUUGCACAAUGGGCGCAAGCCUGAUGCAGCCAUGCCGCGUGUAUGAAGAAGGCCUUCGGGUUGUAAAGUACUUUCAGCAGUGAGGAAGGUGGAUAUGUUAAUAGCAUAUUCAUUUGACGUUAGCUGCAGAAGAAGCACCGGCUAACUCCGUGCCAGCAGCCGCGGUAAUACGGAGGGUGCGAGCGUUAAUCGGAAUUACUGGGCGUAAAGCGCAUGCAGGUGGUUUGUUAAGUCAGAUGUGAAAGCCCGGGGCUCAACCUCGGAAUUGCAUUUAGAAACUGGACAAACUAGAGUACUGUAGAGGGGGUAGAAUUUCAGGUGUAGCGGUGAAAUGCGUAGAGAUCUGAAGGAAUACCGGUGGCGAAGGCGGCCCCCUGGACAGAUACUGACACUCAGAUGCGAAAGCGUGGGGAGCAAACAGGAUUAGAUACCCUGGUAG
Molecule: ribosomal RNA, 442 nt
Filed under: uncultured bacterium
Lineage: Bacteria
Description: bacterial SSU rRNA
Rfam family: Bacterial small subunit ribosomal RNA
Source: RNAcentral